UACGGAGGGAGCUAGCGUUGUUCGGAAUUACUGGGCGUAAAGCGCACGUAGGCGGCUUUGUAAGUUAGAGGUGAAAGCCCGGGGCUCAACUCCGGAACUGCCUUUAAGACUGCAUCGCUUGAAUCCAGGAGAGGUGAGUGGAAUUCCGAGUGUAGAGGUGAAAUUCGUAGAUAUCAGGAGGAACACCAGUGGCGAAGGCGGCUUUCUGGACGGUAACUGACGCUGAGACGCGAAAGCGUGGGGAGCAAACAGG
RNAcentral lists this ribosomal RNA (253 nucleotides) under uncultured bacterium. RNAcentral's name for it is "partial 16S ribosomal RNA". It matches the Rfam family "Bacterial small subunit ribosomal RNA", at positions 524 to 776 of the family's 1533-position model. The record is from RNAcentral.